GACGAACGCUGGCGGCGUGCUUAACACAUGCAAGUCGAACGGAAAGGCCUCUUUCGUGGGGUACUCGAGUUGCCAACGGGUGAGUAACACGUGAGUAACCUGCCCUUGUCUUUGGGAUAACUUCAUGAGACUGGGGCGAAUACCGGAUAGGAGAUCCUUCGGCAUGGUGGGGGUUGGAAAGUUUCGGCGGUUGGGGGUGGACUCGCGGCUUAUCAGCGUGCUGGUGGAUUAGUGGCUUGCGAAGGCUUUGACGGGUAGCCGGCCUGAGAGGGUGACCGGCGACAUUGGGACUGAGAUACGGCCCAGACUCCUACGGGAGGCAGCAGUGGGGAAUCUUGCACAAUGGGUGGGAGCCUGAUGCAGCAACGCCGUGUGCGGGAUGACGGCCUUCGGGUUGUAAACAGCUUUCGAUCAUGACGAAGCUUUGUGUGACGUUAGUGGGUAAAGAAGCACCGGCUAAUUACGU
This 466-nucleotide ribosomal RNA is filed under the name uncultured bacterium. RNAcentral describes it as "partial 16S ribosomal RNA". It matches the Rfam family "Bacterial small subunit ribosomal RNA", at positions 28 to 506 of the family's 1533-position model. The record is from RNAcentral.